GAGAGAGAGAGAGAGAGAGAGAGAGAGAGAGAGAAUCACGUAUUACAAUAAGAAACAAAAAAUAAAAUGCUCCGGUGACGAGUAUAGGGCGACACACCACUAAAAAAAAAGAUUGAAAAAAAGGUGAAAGCUGUUCGGUGAUAUGAAUGGCAGAUAGAAUUCGUGGAGGAGUAAUUACCACGAUGAAUGGAAGUUAGGACAUUAUCACAGAAAUACCACCACUGCCACAACUGACUUAAAAACAAAAAAAACAUGUAUAGCUAUAUGAUGUCAAAGAAAAGUAGAAAAAAAAAUAUAAGGUGUGAAUUGGGGUUUUGAAGGUGUCUGUAUAAUAUUUCCACUCCCUUUCGUUGUCCCACCUUACCCCCUCGUACAACCCAAUUCACUUAAACAUCCUUUCUCUAUCUUGUAUCUCCUAUAUAAGCCAGAUUAUUUGAACGUCGUAUUAGUAUUUAUUAACAAUUAUGUGGCUAGUUUGCUUUUAAAUUCCAGUUUUGGGACGGAGUUCGCUAGAAGUGUACGAUUUUCACAGAGUUAAGUCGACAUAUUACAAACUCAGUCGUAAAAAGCGAUGUACACAAAUCAACAAAACCAACUAAGUACACCUUGAAAAGCUACUCAACAAAGACAAAUCAGCCACAUUAUUAGUAACAAAGACUAAUAAGACGCUUCAAAAUCACGUGAUAGUCUUUCGUCACACGGCAAACCAUCCUCUUUCCCCCUCCAUAUCGCUUCCCUUCGUCCUCCUUCACAGUGAAAAGCAAAAACAGCUGAAGUGAACAAAAAAGUUGAAGUAUUGAUAACGUAAAAAAGGAAAAAAAGAACAUGAUUAUCGGUGACGCAGGGAUGAAUAAUGGACAUGACGCAAAGGAACGCAGUGCAACACGGAAAGGUGCGAUGAUUAAUUAAAGUGACACGGUAGGAAAAGACUUAGAAAAAAAAAAAGAGUGAAUAAUGUUAUGAUACUGAAAAAAACAGGAUGAAUUAUGAGUCGGGAGAAAUAAUGAGUGGCCGAAAAUAUAAACUUCACCUGCAGUUCUACGUAAUACGGUUCAAGGUAAAAAUAAAUAAAUCCACGUGGUGUUACAAUACGGUUCAAGAUAAAAAAAAAAAAAAUCCACGUGGUGUUCUAAUAGGGUUUCAGAUGAAAAAAAAAAGAGAGAAAACUCCACGGGAUGUUCUACUACGAUUCCAAAAAUAAAAUAAAAUUAACAUGGUGUUCAUAUACGGUUCCAAAUUAUAUAGAUAGAUAGAUAGAUAGAUAGAUAAAAGACAGCGUGGAGCUCUAAUACACUUCAAGAUAAAUAUAAUAAUACUUGCGUGACGUUCUAAUACGAUUCUAGAUAAAAAAAAAAAACUCUGAGUAGUUUUAAUACAUUUCCAGAUGAAGAAAAACAGGUCGUGCAUAAUACAGUUCCAGAUAAAAUAAAAUAAAAAUUCCACGGUGUGUUCUAAUACGGCUCUAACAUGACGCAUUAACCUUAGGGCUCCCUCAGGUGCCUCUUUAUCGACCAAGCGCAUGAUAAAUGAAAUGAGAUAGAAAGUUGGAAAGUUUCGCUUAGUCGGCGCAACAUCUGUGGUUAUAUGCCGGAGAGAGACAGAAGGGGGAAGGCAUUAAAGGAGAAGGAUGAAAUGAGAUAAAACAGGCGGAUUGUCAAACACUAAUUCAACUAUGAUGUAAAUACAGUCUCUGGAAUUUCUAACUAAGCCACAUAGAGUCGUAUUACAAAAUAUUUCGUCGCCUAAGAACACAUAUUUCACAAGGCUUUCAUAGGAGUUGUGGGCAUUUCCAGGAGUAGUUUUAUGACCCUGGUGGUAGUUUGACCCUUCUUCUGUACCAUGAACCUGCAGAAACACACAUUACAACCCGACUGACCCCCUCUUUGACCUUUAGAAAUAGCUGAUGUGAGAAGCGAAGGUGUCUUAUCAUACCGACCUUUCGGGGAUUACACAUAUACAUUCUACAAGGCUUUCUUUGAUCCUGUGUAUGUUUCUCUGGGUAGUUUAUGAGUCUAGUGAUAGUUUGGCAAUGCUUCUGUAUCAUGAAUGUGAAAAGCACUACCUAUGAGAACGCGACUAACCUCCUUUGUGGCCUUCGGGAAUGUUUGUUGUGAGCCGAAAGCGUUUAUUGAUACGGGCCCAGCAUGAUACGACAGACACAAGGAGAAGACACUGGCGGGAAUGUACGGAUGAAAUGUGAAGCAAUGAGGUCAAUAGUUGGUUCUCACGGAAGGAAAAUGAAAACUGAAUGUAUAAUAAAUAUAACACAACCUUCACGGCACAUAAUGGACAAUGGGAUGAAGGCGAUAUAAACUCUUUUGUUAAGUAUACAUGGCCAUAUAACAUUCUCUCUCUCUCUCUCUCUCUCUCUCUCUCUCUCUCUCUCUCUCUCUCUCUCUCUCUCUCUCUCUCUCUCUCUCUCUCUCUCUCUCUCUCUCUCUCUCUCUCUCUCUCUCAUACACACACACACACACACACACACACACACACACACCACCACCACCACCACCACAACCACCACCAUCACCAUUUUUAGAAGGUUUAAGCGGAGCAGUAGAGCGCAAAAGACAUCCUACAGGCUAUUAUUAUAUCCACGGGCGAGGAGUGCACGAGACGGAAAAAAGAAUGUCUGUAGACGGAGUGACAUUCAAAGGAUAGCCAAAAAAAGAAAGUCUGAAGGGCACUACUGAAGGCAGGCACACACACACACACAUACACACACACACACACACCAACGCACGCAACACAGCCAAUGAUGAAUAGGAUAAAUACACGGAUGAGCAAGUUAAUAACACAGUAGCAAAUGACGGACAGCUUAAUGAAGUUAUUAAUCAUACAGAAGGUGUAAUCAGAUAUUGACGUGUUGGUAAAAUAGUUUAGAGAAGAAAUUUACUCUGAUAACAUGAUAGGUAAUAAUUAUAAUAGCAAUACUAAUAAUAACAACAAUAAUAAUGAUAAACUCAAAAUCCGUGAACCAAUAGAGAAGAUGAAGUAGACGUAACAUAGUGAAGAAAAAUAAAUAACAACCUUACAACUAAAACAACCACAAAUAACCACUAGACAAAGACGCUGAUUAAAGAUAAACGAAAGAAACAGUAAACUCAGGUGAAAACUAAUAGAGUGCCCGAGACACCUGAAGUUACCUGUAUCAGAACGAGGAAGAAAAAAGUGUUAUAAUCAGCCUUGUCUUAACCAUCGCUAUCAGGGGUGCUUGUGUUUGCGGGGGCAGGGGGCUAUAUGGAGGGGCAGGGGUGAAAGCAGAAGCAAGGUUAAGGGGCGAUGACUGGAGUGAUUGAAGCAGGGGUAAGGUUGGAAGGGCAGAUGGGUAAAAACGAAAGGGCGAGGGAGGGAAAUAGAGGUAAAGUUAUGGGGCUGUUCUGAAGGGUAUGUUAAGGCAGCUAGGGGAUGAAAGCAGAGGCAAGGAUAGAAGGUUAACAGGAAUAGAAGGGUAAGAAUAGAAGGUUAAGAAUAGAGAGAGGUUAAGACAGGAAUAACAGAAUAAGGAAUAAGAAUAGACGAACAAGACUGAUAAGAAUAAAGAUACAGAGGAAUGAAAAGAAGAAGAAGAGGAGAAGAAUAGGUUAGGAGUAUAAUGUUAAGAAGAAUAGAAGGUAAGGGGUUGUUGCUAGGAGAAUGGAGGGCAGGGAAUGAAAACGGAGGCAAAGAUAGAAUGAAGUGUUAGGGGAAUGGAGUUAAGGAGAUAAGGCCACAGUGAGGGGGUUGAGGAACGGAAUAGAGGGGAGAGGGGUAGGAGGGACAGAGGGAAAGGAAGGGUGGGGUGGGGUGAACGAGGUGAACUGGGAGUGGGGGGGCACUGAGGGGGCGGAGAAUGGGUUUAAAAGGACGACUGUGAGCUCUUGAAGAUGGCUUAAUGGGUGAAGGGAAAUACGGAGUUGCUUUCUAUCAUUGUCUGAUGUGAAUGCGAAUUUAACUGCAGAAUGAUUGAAAUGGAAUAGAUGGGAGAGGAAAGCCUUACCGUAGAUGGUUGAAUGGGUGACGGGAAAUAUGGAGUUGUUUUCUAUCAUUGUCUUAUGUGAAUACGAAUUUAACUACAGAAUGAUUGAAAUGGAAUAGAUGGGAGUAGAAAGCCUUGCCCUAGACGUCAUUGAUAGGAGAAAUAGGUAAAACUGGGUAAAUAUAGUACGAAUUUAACUAAAGAAUGAUUGAAAUAGAAUAGAUGGGAGUAGAAAGCCUUGCCAUAUGUAGACGUCAGUGGUGGGAGAAAUAGGUAAAACUGGGUAAGUAAAGUACGAAUUUAACUAAAGAAUGAUUGAAAUAGAAUAGAUGGGAGUAGAAAGCCUUGCCGUAGACGUCAGUGGUAGGAGAAAUCGGUAAAUCUGGGUAAAUAUGGUAAGCAGAGAGUAAAGGUUGAUGACUGAAGGAAGAUUGGAAUGGAAUAGAAGACAGUAGAAAGCCUUGCCAUAGACGUCAGUGGUAGAAGAAAAAGGUAAAACAGAGUAAAGAUAGCAAGCAGAGAGUAAAGGUUGAUGACUGAAGGAAGAUUGGAAUGGAAUAGUAGAAAGUAGAAAGCUUAACCGCAGAUGUCAAUGGUAGGUGAAAAAG
Eriocheir sinensis (Chinese mitten crab) is the source of this 4563-nucleotide long non-coding RNA. RefSeq lists it as uncharacterized. The record is from RefSeq and is a predicted model, not a curated record. The transcript is spliced from 2 exons. NCBI's taxonomy places the organism in Eukaryota, Metazoa, Arthropoda, Malacostraca, Decapoda, Varunidae.